ACUCCUACGGGAGGCAGCAGUGGGGAAUUUUGGACAAUGGGGGCAACCCUGAUCCAGCCAUGCCGCGUGAGUGAAGAAGGCCUUCGGGUUGUAAAGCUCUUUCGGCCGGGAAGAAAUCGCAUGGGCCAAUACCCUGUGUGGAUGACGGUACCGGAAUAAGAAGCACCGGCUAACUACGUGCCAGCAGCCGCGGUAAU
Molecule: ribosomal RNA, 197 nt
Filed under: uncultured bacterium
Lineage: Bacteria
Description: partial 16S ribosomal RNA
Rfam family: Bacterial small subunit ribosomal RNA
Source: RNAcentral